UUGCCAUUUUGAACAUGUCGUUA
RNAcentral lists this non-coding RNA (23 nucleotides) under Arabidopsis thaliana (thale cress). Lineage: Eukaryota; Viridiplantae; Streptophyta; Magnoliopsida; Brassicales; Brassicaceae. The record is from RNAcentral.